UGGAUCCAGACUUUGAUCCUGGCUCAGGAUGAACGCUAGCUACAGGCUUAACACAUGCAAGUCGAGGGGAAACGACAUCGAAAGCUUGCUUUUGAUGGGCGUCGACCGGCGCACGGGUGAGUAACGCGUAUCCAACCUGCCCACCACUUGGGGAUAACCUUGCGAAAGUAAGACUAAUACCCAAUGACGUCUCUAGAAGACAUCUGAAAGAGAUUAAAGAUUUAUCGGUGAUGGAUGGGGAUGCGUCUGAUUAGCUUGUUGGCGGGGUAACGGCCCACCAAGGCUACGAUCAGUAGGGGUUCUGAGAGGAAGGUCCCCCACAUUGGAACUGAGACACGGUCCAAACUCCUACGGGAGGCAGCAGUGAGGAAUAUUGGUCAAUGGACGAGAGUCUGAACCAGCCAAGUAGCGUGCAGGAUGACGGCCCUAUGGGUUGUAAACUGCUUUUAUAAGGGAAUAAAGUGAGUCUCGUGAGACUUUUUGCAUGUACCUUAUGAAUAAGGACCGGCUAAUUCCGUGCCAGCAGCCGCGGUAAUACGGAAGGUCCGGGCGUUAUCCGGAUUUAUUGGGUUUAAAGGGAGCGUAGGCCGGAGAUUAAGCGUGUUGUGAAAUGUAGACGCUCAACGUCUGCACUGCAGCGCGAACUGGUUUCCUUGAGUACGCACAAAGUGGGCGGAAUUCGUGGUGUAGCGGUGAAAUGCUUAGAUAUCACGAAGAACUCCGAUUGCGAAGGCAGCUCACUGGAGCGCAACUGACGCUGAAGCUCGAAAGUGCGGGUAUCGAACAGGAUUAGAUACCCUGGUAGUCCGCACGGUAAACGAUGGAUGCCCGCUGUUGGUCUGAAUAGGUCAGCGGCCAAGCGAAAGCAUUAAGCAUCCCACCUGGGGAGUACGCCGGCAACGGUGCAACUCAAAUGAAUUGACGGA
RNAcentral lists this ribosomal RNA (926 nucleotides) under uncultured bacterium. RNAcentral's name for it is "bacterial SSU rRNA". It matches the Rfam family "Bacterial small subunit ribosomal RNA", at positions 1 to 917 of the family's 1533-position model. The record is from RNAcentral. RNAcentral also lists the same sequence under 1 other name.